RNAcentral lists this microRNA precursor (81 nucleotides) under Bombyx mori (domestic silkworm). RNAcentral's name for it is "mir-2807 microRNA precursor family". It matches the Rfam family "mir-2807 microRNA precursor family". The record is from Rfam by way of RNAcentral. Lineage: Eukaryota; Metazoa; Arthropoda; Insecta; Lepidoptera; Bombycidae.
UGAACUCAAAUUUGUUUGCAGUUGGAACGUUUGCCUACGUUUGCCGUUAGGGGCGCUGUUCUAACUGCAAACAAAGAGCUA